Juglans regia (Persian walnut) is the source of this 108-nucleotide small nucleolar RNA. The record is from RefSeq and is a predicted model, not a curated record. NCBI's taxonomy places the organism in Eukaryota, Viridiplantae, Streptophyta, Magnoliopsida, Fagales, Juglandaceae.
UACCUAUGGUGAGGGCAAGCAUUAAGCAAAUCCUUGAAUCUCUCCCAACAUUGGUAAAAAGUUUUAGUUUCUUUUUGAACAAAAUUCAUGAUUUGUCUUUUUAAUACA